CCAGAGACCCUAUGCAACGGGCAGCUGGGCUGCAGUGACCCCGCUUUCCUCACGCCCAGCACUGACCCUCUUGCCGCAAAGCUGCACAGCAUCCUCACUGAUGAGGCGUUUGAGUUUUACUGUAGCCAGUGCCACAAACAAAUCAACCGCCUUGAGGAUCUUUCUGCCCGCCUGAGUGAUCUUGAAAUGAAUAGUCCGACAAAGCGGCUCUCCAGCAAGAAGGUGGCAAGGUAGGUGGGUCUCUGGUUCCUGCUGAAAAACGUUCUGAAGUGGAUAAUUAGUCAUAGUUUUUUAAAAAACAUUUUAAAAUGUUCUUUUCCAAGGUAUUUUUUAAACUCCUGCAAGUUACUUUACAUGGUUUGGGGCUGAAGGUAUCCUGAGGGAGUGUUGGGAAAGGGGUUUCCAGGGCUGUGAAUUUGGACCCGGAUUUGUGACCAGGGAGGGUACGUGUCAGAGCUUUUGGUGCUGGGCCUCUUGUGUGUUCACUAAGGUCUGGAAGGGGCCGCCAUCCCCAGAUGUCUGCUCUAUG
This 529-nucleotide small RNA is filed under the name Pan troglodytes (chimpanzee). Its description in RNAcentral is "retained intron". Lineage: Eukaryota; Metazoa; Chordata; Mammalia; Primates; Hominidae. The record is from RNAcentral.